CGGCGGAUCUUAGGCGGGGAGCUAGGGGUUCCCUGAGAGGCCUAACGCCUCGACCGUAAACCCCCUAUAUGACGGGCCGAAAGCCGAGGUGAGGCGCCUAAGAGCAUCAGGCCUCCCUAAUAGCCAAACCAUGAGUACCUGUCCUCUGGGGUCAACGGUCGCGGGGCGCCCUCCGUAGGGAGGGUUGCUACCGCGUUUACCAGGCGAACCUGGCCAGGCCCGGGAGGGAGCAACCUAAGCCUGGACGUUUGGCGCUCAGAGGGGUGCGGGUAUGAGUGAGGAGUUAGGGAGGCUUGAUGAAAUCUGGGCGUCGAGCCUCGGUGAUCCGCCG
Molecule: signal recognition particle RNA, 331 nt
Filed under: Candidatus Bathyarchaeota archaeon
Lineage: Archaea; Thermoproteati; Candidatus Bathyarchaeota
Description: signal recognition particle sRNA
Rfam family: Archaeal signal recognition particle RNA
Source: RNAcentral